CUAAUACAUGCAAGUCGAGCGAACAGAUAAGGAGCUUGCUCCUUUGACGUUAGCGGCGGACGGGUGAGUAACACGUGGGUAACCUACCUAUAAGACUGGAAUAACUCCGGGAAACCGGGGCUAAUGCCGGAUAACAUUUAGAACCGCAUGGUUCUAAAGUGAAAGAUGGUUUUGCUAUCACUUAUAGAUGGACCCGCGCCGUAUUAGCUAGUUGGUAAGGUAACGGCUUACCAAGGCAACGAUACGUAGCCGACCUGAGAGGGUGAUCGGCCACACUGGAACUGAGACACGGUCCAGACUCCUACGGGAGGCAGCAGUAGGGAAUCUUCCGCAAUGGGCGAAAGCCUGACGGAGCAACGCCGCGUGAGUGAUGAAGGUCUUCGGAUCGUAAAACUCUGUUAUUAGGGAAGAACAAAUGUGUAAGUAACUAUGCACGUCUUGACGGUACCUAAUCAGAAAGCCACGGCUAACUACGUGCCAGCAGCCGCGGUAAUACGUAGGUGGCAAGCGUUAUCCGGAAUUAUUGGGCGUAAAGCGCGCGUAGGCGGUUUCUUAAGUCUGAUGUGAAAGCCCACGGCUCAACCGUGGAGGGUCAUUGGAAACUGGGAAACUUGAGUACAGAAGAGGAAAGUGGAAUUCCAUGUGUAGCGGUGAAAUGCGCAGAGAUAUGGAGGAACACCAGUGGCGAAGGCGACUUUCUGGUCUGUAACUGACGCUGAUGUGCGAAAGCGUGGGGAUCAAACAGGAUUAGAUACCCUGGUAGUCCACGCCGUAAACGAUGAGUGCUAAGUGUUAGGGGGUUUCCGCCCCUUAGUGCUGCAGCUAACGCAUUAAGCACUCCGCCUGGGGAGUACGACCGCAAGGUUGAAACUCA
RNAcentral lists this ribosomal RNA (874 nucleotides) under Staphylococcus cohnii. RNAcentral's name for it is "bacterial SSU rRNA". It matches the Rfam family "Bacterial small subunit ribosomal RNA", at positions 48 to 903 of the family's 1533-position model. The record is from RNAcentral. Lineage: Bacteria; Bacillati; Bacillota; Bacilli; Caryophanales; Staphylococcaceae.